AACGAACGCUGGCGGCAUGCCUAACACAUGCAAGUCGAACGAGACCUUCGGGUCUACUGGCGCACGGGUGCGUCACGCGUGGGAACCUGCCCUUAUGUUCGGAAUUCUUCCCCGUCAGGGGUGCUAAUGCCGGGUAAUGUCUUCUGACCCAAGAUUGAUCGUCUUUGGAUGGGCCCGCGUUGGAUUAGCUAGUUGCUAGGGUAAAAGCCUACCAAGGCAACGCUCCAUAGCUGGUCUGAGAGGAAGAUCAGCCACACUGGGACUGAGACACGGCCCAGACUACUACGGGAGGGAGCAGUGGGGAAUACUGCACAAUGGGGGAAAGCCAGAUCCAGCAAUGCCGGGUGAGUGAUGAAGGCCGUAGAGUAGUAAAGCACGUUUACACGGGAUGAUAAUGACAGUACCGAGAGAAUAAGCACCGGCUAACUCCGUG
This 433-nucleotide ribosomal RNA is filed under the name uncultured bacterium. RNAcentral's name for it is "partial 16S ribosomal RNA". It matches the Rfam family "Bacterial small subunit ribosomal RNA", at positions 29 to 507 of the family's 1533-position model. The record is from RNAcentral.